CUAAUACCGUAUAACAACAAAAUCCGCAUGGAUUUUGUUUGAAAGGUGGCUUCGGCUAUCACUUCUGGAUGAUCCCGCGGCGUAUUAGUUAGUUGGUGAGGUAAAGGCCCACCAAGACGAUGAUACGUAGCCGACCUGAGAGGGUAAUCGGCCACAUUGGGACUGAGACACGGCCCAAACUCCUACGGGAGGCAGCAGUAGGGAAUCUUCCACAAUGGACGAAAGUCUGAUGGAGCAAUGCCGCGUGAGUGAAGAAGGGUUUCGGCUCGUAAAACUCUGUUGUUAAAGAAGAACACCUUUGAGAGUAACUGUUCAAGGGUUGACGGUAUUUAACCAGAAAGCCACGGCUAACUACGUGCCAGCAGCCGCGGUAAUACGUAGGUGGCAAGCGUUGUCCGGAUUUAUUGGGCGUAAAGCGAGCGCAGGCGGUUUUUUAAGUCUGAUGUGAAAGCCUUCGGCUUAACCGGAGAAGUGCAUCGGAAACUGGGAGACUUGAGUGCAGAAGAGGACAGUGGAACUCCAUGUGUAGCGGUGGAAUGCGUAGAUAUAUGGAAGAACACCAGUGGCGAAGGCGGCUGUCUAGUCUGUAACUGACGCUGAGGCUCGAAAGCAUGGGUAGCGAACAGGAUUAGAUACCCUGGUAGUCCAUGCCGUAAACGAUGAGUGCUAAGUGUUGGAGGGUUUCCGCCCUUCAGUGCUGCAGCUAACGCAUUAAGCACUCCGCCUGGGGAGUACGACCGCAAGGUUGAAACUCAAAGGAAUUGACGGGGGCCCGCACAAGCGGUGGAGCAUGUGGUUUAAUUCGAAGCUACGCGAAGAACCUUACCAGGUCUUGACAUCUUCUGCCAAUCUUAGAGAUAAGACGUUCCCUUCGGGGACAGAAUGACAGGUGGUGCAUGGUUGUCGUCAGCUCGUGUCGUGAGAUGUUGGGUUAAGUCCCGCAACGAGCGCAACCCUUAUUAUCAGUUGCCAGCAUUCAGUUGGGCACUCUGGUGAGACUGCCGGUGACAAACCGGAGGAAGGUGGGGAUGACGUCAAAUCAUCAUGCCCCUUAUGACCUGGGCUACACACGUGCUACAAUGGACGGUACAACGAGUUGCGAAGUCGUGAGGCUAAG
RNAcentral lists this ribosomal RNA (1117 nucleotides) under Levilactobacillus brevis. RNAcentral describes it as "bacterial SSU rRNA". It matches the Rfam family "Bacterial small subunit ribosomal RNA", at positions 163 to 1267 of the family's 1533-position model. Lineage: Bacteria; Bacillati; Bacillota; Bacilli; Lactobacillales; Lactobacillaceae. The record is from RNAcentral.